RNAcentral lists this ribosomal RNA (1081 nucleotides) under Bacillus sp. (in: firmicutes). RNAcentral describes it as "bacterial SSU rRNA". It matches the Rfam family "Bacterial small subunit ribosomal RNA", at positions 217 to 1291 of the family's 1533-position model. The record is from RNAcentral. Lineage: Bacteria; Bacillati; Bacillota; Bacilli; Caryophanales; Bacillaceae.
ACUUACAGAUGGACCCGCGGCGCAUUAGCUAGUUGGUGGGGUAAUGGCUCACCAAGGCGACGAUGCGUAGCCGACCUGAGAGGGUGAUCGGCCACACUGGGACUGAGACACGGCCCAGACUCCUACGGGAGGCAGCAGUAGGGAAUCUUCCGCAAUGGACGAAAGUCUGACGGAGCAACGCCGCGUGAGUGAUGAAGGUUUUCGGAUCGUAAAGCUCUGUUGUUAGGGAAGAACAAGUGCGAGAGUAACUGCUCGCACCUUGACGGUACCUAACCAGAAAGCCACGGCUAACUACGUGCCAGCAGCCGCGGUAAUACGUAGGUGGCAAGCGUUGUCCGGAAUUAUUGGGCGUAAAGGGCUCGCAGGCGGUUUCUUAAGUCUGAUGUGAAAGCCCCCGGCUCAACCGGGGAGGGUCAUUGGAAACUGGGAAACUUGAGUGCAGAAGAGGAGAGUGGAAUUCCACGUGUAGCGGUGAAAUGCGUAGAGAUGUGGAGGAACACCAGUGGCGAAGGCGACUCUCUGGUCUGUAACUGACGCUGAGGAGCGAAAGCGUGGGGAGCGAACAGGAUUAGAUACCCUGGUAGUCCACGCCGUAAACGAUGAGUGCUAAGUGUUAGGGGGUUUCCGCCCCUUAGUGCUGCAGCUAACGCAUUAAGCACUCCGCCUGGGGAGUACGGUCGCAAGACUGAAACUCAAAGGAAUUGACGGGGGCCCGCACAAGCGGUGGAGCAUGUGGUUUAAUUCGAAGCAACGCGAAGAACCUUACCAGGUCUUGACAUCCUCUGACAACCCUAGAGAUAGGGCUUUCCCUUCGGGGACAGAGUGACAGGUGGUGCAUGGUUGUCGUCAGCUCGUGUCGUGAGAUGUUGGGUUAAGUCCCGCAACGAGCGCAACCCUUGAUCUUAGUUGCCAGCAUUUAGUUGGGCACUCUAAGGUGACUGCCGGUGACAAACCGGAGGAAGGUGGGGAUGACGUCAAAUCAUCAUGCCCCUUAUGACCUGGGCUACACACGUGCUACAAUGGACAGAACAAAGGGCUGCGAGACCGCAAGGUUUAGCCAAUCCCAUAAAUCUGUUCUCAG